This 497-nucleotide ribosomal RNA is filed under the name uncultured bacterium. Its description in RNAcentral is "partial 16S ribosomal RNA". It matches the Rfam family "Bacterial small subunit ribosomal RNA", at positions 28 to 507 of the family's 1533-position model. The record is from RNAcentral.
GAUGAAUGCUGGCGGCGUGCCUAAUACAUGCAAGUCGAGCGAACAGACGAGGAGCUUGCUCCUCUGACGUUAGCGGCGGACGGGUGAGUAACACGUGGAUAACCUACCUAUAAGACUGGGAUAACUUCGGGAAACCGGAGCUAAUACCGGAUAAUAUAUUGAACCGCAUGGUUCAAUAGUGAAAGACGGUUUUGCUGUCACUUAUAGAUGGAUCCGCGCCGCAUUAGCUAGUUGGUAAGGUAACGGCUUACCAAGGCAACGAUGCGUAGCCGACCUGAGAGGGUGAUCGGUCACACUGGAACUGAGACACGGUCCAGACUCCUACGGGAGGCAGCAGUAGGGAAUCUUCCGCAAUGGGCGAAAGCCUGACGGAGCAACGCCGCGUGAGUGAUGAAGGUCUUCGGAUCGUAAAACUCUGUUAUUAGGGAAGAACAAAUGUGUAAGUAACUAUGCACGUCUUGACGGUACCUAAUCAGAAAGCCACGGCUAACUACGUG